This 650-nucleotide ribosomal RNA is filed under the name Hyphomonas sp. JC398. RNAcentral's name for it is "bacterial SSU rRNA". It matches the Rfam family "Bacterial small subunit ribosomal RNA", at positions 87 to 772 of the family's 1533-position model. The record is from RNAcentral. Lineage: Bacteria; Pseudomonadati; Pseudomonadota; Alphaproteobacteria; Hyphomonadales; Hyphomonadaceae.
ACGAUAUAGUGGCAGACGGGUGAGUAACGCGUGGGAACGUACCUUUCACUACGGAAUAGCUCUGGGAAACUGGUGGUAAUACCGUAUACGCCCUUAGGGGGAAAGAUUUAUCGGUGAAAGAUCGGCCCGCGUUGGAUUAGCUAGUUGGUGAGGUAAUGGCUCACAAAGGCGACGAUCCAUAGCUGGUCUGAGAGGAUGAUCAGCCACACUGGGACUGAGACACGGCCCAGACUCCUACGGGAGGCAGCAGUGGGGAAUCUUGCACAAUGGGCGAAAGCCUGAUGCAGCCAUGCCGCGUGAAUGAUGAAGGCCUUAGGGUUGUAAAAUUCUUUCGUCAGGGAUGAUAAUGACCGUACCUGAAGAAGAAGCCCCGGCUAACUUCGUGCCAGCAGCCGCGGUAAUACGAAGGGGGCUAGCGUUGUUCGGAAUUACUGGGCGUAAAGCGCACGUAGGCGGACUUUUAAGUCAGGUGUGAAAUCCCGGGGCUCAACCUCGGAACUGCAUUUGAAACUGGAAGUCUGGAGAUCAGGAGAGGUUAGCGGAAUACCGAGUGUAGAGGUGAAAUUCGUAGAUAUUCGGUGGAACACCAGUGGCGAAGGCGGCUAACUGGACUGAUACUGACGCUGAGGUGCGAAAGUGUGGGGAGCAAA